GAUGAAGAACGCAGUGAAAUGCGAUACGUAGUGUGAAUUGCAGAAUUCAGUGAAUCAUCGAAUCUUUGAACGCACAUUGCACCUCUCGGUAUUCCGGGAGGUAUGCCUGUUCGAGCGUCAUUUGUACCCUCAAGCUCUGCUUGGUGUUGGGUGUUUGUUCCGCCUCUGUGUGUGAACUCGCCUCAAAACAAUUGGCAGCCGGCGUACUUGUUUCGGAGCGCAGCACAUUUUGCGAUCCAGAUCAACGUACAGCGGCAUCCAAGAAGCCUUAUUUAACGCUCUUGACCUCGGAUCAGGUAGGGAUACCCGCCGAACUUAAGCAUAUCAAUAAGCGGAGGA
RNAcentral lists this unclassified non-coding RNA (339 nucleotides) under soil metagenome. Its description in RNAcentral is "partial contains 5.8S ribosomal RNA, internal transcribed spacer 2, and large subunit ribosomal RNA". The stretch from base 1 to 120 matches the Rfam family "5.8S ribosomal RNA", at positions 35 to 154 of the family's 154-position model. The record is from RNAcentral.